GGCGGUAGGCCUAACACAUGCAAGUCGAACGGCAGCACAGGAGAGCUUGCUCUCUGGGUGGCGAGUGGCGGACGGGUGAGGAAUACAUCGGAAUCUACUUUUUCGUGGGGGAUAACGUAGGGAAACUUACGCUAAUACCGCAUACGACCUACGGGUGAAAGCAGGGGAUCUUCGGACCUUGCGCGAUUGAAUGAGCCGAUGUCGGAUUAGCUAGUUGGCGGGGUAAAGGCCCACCAAGGCGACGAUCCGUAGCUGGUCUGAGAGGAUGAUCAGCCACACUGGAACUGAGACACGGUCCAGACUCCUACGGGAGGCAGCAGUGGGGAAUAUUGGACAAUGGGCGCAAGCCUGAUCCAGCCAUACCGCGUGGGUGAAGAAGGCCUUCGGGUUGUAAAGCCCUUCUGUUGGGAAAGAAAUCCAGCUGGUUAAUACCCGGUUGGGAUGACGGUACCCAAAGAAUAAGCACCGGCUAACUUCGUGCCAGCAGCCGCGGUAAUACGAAGGGUGCAAGCGUUACUCGGAAUUACUGGGCGUAAAGCGUGCGUAGGUGGUCGUUUAAGUCCGUUGUGAAAGCCCUGGGCUCAACCUGGGAACUGCAGUGGAUACUGGACGACUAGAGUGUGGUAGAGGGUAGCGGAAUUCCUGGUGUAGCAGUGAAAUGCGUAGAGAUCAGGAGGAACAUCCAUGGCGAAGGCAGCUACCUGGACCAACACCGACACUGAGGCACGAAAGCGU
Molecule: ribosomal RNA, 735 nt
Filed under: uncultured bacterium
Lineage: Bacteria
Description: bacterial SSU rRNA
Rfam family: Bacterial small subunit ribosomal RNA
Source: RNAcentral